AUGGAACACCUGUCUGGAGACCUACAGCCAUUUCAGCUGCCCAACGGACAUAACGUGGGCCACCUGAGCCAAAUGCAGGCUCAACCAUCUGGAUUCUGCAAAACGAAAACUCUGAAAUCACCAGUCACAGUUCCAGAGUUUUUCAUGUUACAGACUCUUAGAAUGCCAUCUCAAAGGUUAUUUACCUUGAAGGGUUCAUUGUCUGUUCGGAAGGUGAUGUUUGGAACAUCAUGUAGCCAAAAUGGAAACCCUCUGCACAAGAUACCCAGCAUUUGUUCAGAAUUGAAAAGACACCUACCUGGCCCUGGACAGGCUCGUGAACAUUCCAAAAGACGUAAGUUUGUAUGA
RNAcentral lists this ribosomal RNA (348 nucleotides) under Triticum aestivum (bread wheat). RNAcentral's name for it is "partial small subunit ribosomal RNA". Lineage: Eukaryota; Viridiplantae; Streptophyta; Magnoliopsida; Poales; Poaceae. The record is from RNAcentral.